CCUACGGGAGGCUGCAGUGGGGAAUAUUGCACAAUGGGGGAAACCCUGAUGCAGCGACGCCGCGUGAGUGAAGAAGUACUUCGUUAUGUAAAGCUCUAUCAGCAGGGAAGAAAAUGACGGUACCUGAGUAAGAAGCCCCGGCUAACUACGUGCCAGCAGCCGCGGUAAUACGUAGGUGGCAAGCGUUAUCCGGAUUUACUGGGUGUAAAGGGAGCGUAGACGGCAGUGCAAGUCUGGAGUGAAAGGCUGGGGCUCAACCCCCGGACUGCUCUGGAAACUGUACGGCUGGAGUGCAGGAGAGGUAAGUGGAAUUCCUAGUGUAGCGGUGAAAUGCGUAGAGAUUAGGAGGAACACCAGUGGCGAAGGCGAUUUACUGGACUGUAACUGACGUUGAGGCUCGAAAGCGUGGGGAGCAAACAGGAUUAGAUACCCCUGUAGUC
This 440-nucleotide ribosomal RNA is filed under the name uncultured bacterium. RNAcentral's name for it is "partial 16S ribosomal RNA". It matches the Rfam family "Bacterial small subunit ribosomal RNA", at positions 338 to 795 of the family's 1533-position model. The record is from RNAcentral.